GGCGCAGUGGCAGAGUGGUCUAAUGCGAUAGACUAGAAUGCGAAUUCUACGACAUCUAUUCUCUUCGGAGGCGUCUGUUCGAAUCAGGCCUGCGUCG
Molecule: transfer RNA, 97 nt
Organism: Pseudomassariella vexata
Lineage: Eukaryota; Fungi; Ascomycota; Sordariomycetes; Amphisphaeriales; Pseudomassariaceae
Rfam family: tRNA
About the family: Transfer RNA (tRNA) molecules are approximately 80 nucleotides in length. Their secondary structure includes four short double-helical elements and three loops (D, anti-codon, and T loops).
Source: Rfam